AACGCAUAUUGCGCUCUUUGGUAUUCCGAAGAGCAUGCUUGUUUGAGUAUCAGUAAACACCUCAAAGCCCUUUUUCUUUUUGAAAAAGGCUUUGGACUUGAGCAAUCCCAACGCUAAUCUUUUUAAAAGAGCAGAGGCGGGUUGCUUGAAAUGCAGGUGCAGCUGGACUUUCUCCUGAGCUAAAAGCAUAUUCAUUUAGUCCCGUCAAACGGAUUAUUACUUUUGCUGCAGCUAAUAUAAAGGGAGUUUGACCAUUUUGGCUGACUGAUGCAGGAUUUUCACAAGAGUCUUAAAAAACCCUUGUUAAACUCGAUCUCAAAUCAAGUAAGACUACCCGCUGAACUUAA
This 347-nucleotide unclassified non-coding RNA is filed under the name uncultured Mortierella. RNAcentral's name for it is "sequence contains ITS2". The record is from RNAcentral. Lineage: Eukaryota; Fungi; Mortierellomycota; Mortierellomycetes; Mortierellales; Mortierellaceae.